RNAcentral lists this ribosomal RNA (402 nucleotides) under uncultured bacterium. Its description in RNAcentral is "bacterial SSU rRNA". It matches the Rfam family "Bacterial small subunit ribosomal RNA", at positions 355 to 774 of the family's 1533-position model. The record is from RNAcentral.
UCGGGAAUCUUGGGCAAUGGGCGAAAGCCUGACCCAGCAACGCCGCGUGAGGGAUGAAGUAUUUCGGUAUGUAAACCUCGAAAGAAUGGGAAGAAUAAAUGACGGUACCAUUUAUAAGCUCCGGCUAACUACGUGCCAGCAGCCGCGGUAAUACGUAGGGAGCAAGCGUUGUUCGGAUUUACUGGGCGUAAAGGGCGCGUAGGCGGCGCGGUAAGUCACUUGUGAAAUCUCUGAGCUUAACUCAGAACGGCCAAGUGAUACUGCUGUGCUAGAGUGCGGAAGAGGCAACCGGAAUUCUUGGUGUAGCGGUGAAAUGCGUAGAUAUCAAGAGGAACACCUGAGGCGAAGGCGGGUUGCUGGGCCGACACUGACGCUGAUGCGCGAAAGCCAGGGGAGCAAACG